RNAcentral lists this ribosomal RNA (253 nucleotides) under uncultured bacterium. Its description in RNAcentral is "partial 16S ribosomal RNA". It matches the Rfam family "Bacterial small subunit ribosomal RNA", at positions 524 to 776 of the family's 1533-position model. The record is from RNAcentral.
UACAGAGGUCUCAAGCGUUGUUCGGAUUCAUUGGGCGUAAAGGGUGUGUAGGUGGUGCGCUAAGUCGGGUGUGAAAUUUCGGAGCUUAACUCCGAAGCUGCAUUCGAUACUGGCGUGCUUGAGGACUGGAGAGGAGACUGGAAUUCAUGGUGUAGCAGUGAAAUGCGUAGAGAUCAUGAGGAAGACCAGUGGCGAAGGCGGGUCUCUGGACAGUUCCUGACACUGAGACACGAAGGCCAGGGGAGCAAACGGG